CCAAAACAAAAGUGAAAAUGACCCUAAUGAUACAUUUAGGGUCCCAUUUUAUAUACAAUACAAAAGAGUCAUUCAUCUAGUUCAUUCGGCAACCAUUUAUCAAAAUUCAUUCCAAAAGAGUCAUAUUCCUGUAAGGAAAACAAAAGGAACGGGGUGAGCUAAUUGCCCAGUGAGAAUACAACUCAAGCAACCAAGUUCAUGGAUACAUCAAGUUUAACAGUCCAAUUUACCAAAAUAAAUAAAGCCACACAUUAAUAAUGAGGAAAAAAAAGGAUACGGGUGGCUCUCAAGAGCCCUUUUCCUCGUUUGAAUUCUUGAUCAGGUCUCAUUGACUCUCCGUCAAUGUCUGAAAGGUAACCAACCGUAGACUCCUCUUAACUUCCAUUCCCUUCCUCCUAACAUUCCUCAACCGGGCCCGAAAUCCAAACACUUGCAUUGUGGUAUUACUCGAGUAAACCGGAAUCAAGAGUCUCUCAUACUACAAGAUUCCCUAUGAUGUUGCCCCAAGGCGCAUUAAUUGGCACGACCAAGCCCUCGCCGGCUCGAUUCAAUCAAUAACCAAUGGGGUUGAGCUCAUGGAUAAUAUUUGAAGUCAUGUAUUUCAUUUCAUAUAACAUUUCAUAUAACAUUUCAUAUAACUUUCCAAUAACAUGCGAAACAAUAAGUGAAAGUGAUAAAGUACACUCUCACUUGGAUCAAUCAACAUUCAACAUCUCAAGUACAAAGAUCAAAGCCAUGUAAUAGCACAUAAGUGAGUAGUACACUCACCUAGCUAGCACAAUGCGGUUUCAAAUACUUUAGUCAAAAGAACGUUGUGCACCACCGUCACGCCCUAAAAUCACGCAACAAAUGCAAUGAGACUCGAUAACGAGUCAUAUAGCAAUGCUAAACACAACCCCAAUAGGGUUUCAUAUGCAUAAAUGAGCAUAAUAGCAAACCAGAAAUUAGAAAAUGGCCUUAGUCUUGGCCCCAAAUAGAAAACUGUUUUGCCCUUAUUAUGCGGUAAUGGUGUAAAAUUCUCUACGGUUAUCGGAUGGGGGUGUAAGACCCACCGUUUCGAAGCUAUGAAACAGGGCUACAAAAAUGUAGAAGGUCACUCAAUCCAGUUCCUAGCUUAACUAGGUCGAAAAUGCCAAAUACUAUACCAGAAUUACCAAAACAGGUUUGCAAAUCACACAAAACUGUAAUUACUAUAACUUAGUCUAUACAAGUCCAAAUGCCGAAAUUCCAAAGGCAUAUGUUAGCUAAGACAUCCAGCUACAUUUCAUCAGAAGACACCAACAACUAAAUCCAAACCAAUUCCAGUCAAAAUGGCCAAUAACCAGUACAGUUUUCGCAUUCUGUCCAAAGCAGAACAGCUACAGUAAUUUCGUCAUAUCUCACUCCACACUAAUCCAAAUGACCUGAAAUUUUGCAGGCAUCUCAAACACAUCAAUACCUACAACUUUCAUGUUUUGAGCAAAGUCCAAUUCGGCCUCUAUCUAUGACCUAAAAUUUCGGACAGAAUGUUCAACCAAGAACCCUAAUUUUUCCAGAAAUUCUUCCAAAUUCAAAAUUGAUUGCAAUUUCCUAUCAUAUGCACCUACUAGAGCCAAAGCCCCUUAUUACCAACCAUCAAAAACAACCACACCAUCAAGAUCAUAUGAAACCAGAAAAUUCCUCAAAAAAAUAAAAAACUCAACCAAAUCACUUCAAACCAAGAAAUAAAUCAUAUAUUCCUUCACUCAUGCCACCAUUAAGCAUCAUAUAACCAUCAUUAGGUAUAGGGGAGAGGUUGAAGCAUCACUUACCAAGAAACAAGAGAGAGGAGGAUAUUGGACACCUUAGCUCUUCAAAACAACUUCACUAAUACCCUUACUAGCACUAAAAGAUAGGAUUUUAUGGAGUGAAAUGGAUGGAAGCAAAUGUUUUUGGUUGAUUUGCACCAAGUAGAAGCUAAAACUUGAAGAGUUUCUCCUUCCUUCCUUGAGCUAGAGAGCCGGCCAACAAGAGAAGAAAAUGGUGAGUUUUAGUCAAUUUUUUGAGAUAUUUAACUAAUGGGUCAAAAGUCAAAAACAUGAAUAGUAAGCCUUAAGUCAAACCCAAUGAAACAAUGACACUUGGCACCUCAAUUAAUGCAAUCCUAUCCUUUCUUUUCUCUCUCACAUCAAUCAUUUCACACACUCUACUUAUCUCUUAACACCCGAUAAAUUUUACACAGUAUCCGAAACUUAACCUUAUUGGCCGAAUUUUUCCGAACUUUUCGCACUAGUGGGUCCCACGUCCACUAUUUACUCUUAAUUUUCUAAAAACUCUCUAAUACUAGAAAAAUCAUCUUAAAACUAUAAUUACGCAUAAAAUCUACCAGAAAAUAUUUCUAAGCCAGAAAAUGCAAAAAUUAUGCAAUUAAGGGGUAAUAAACCCUAGGAAAAAAAAAUAGGGUUUUUACGGGUUCUCACACAAGACACAAGCAAAUCCCUCUAGUGAAAGUCUUAUGGAGAAAUUAUGGAAUCGAGAAAGCAACUUGGGAAGUUGGAAGAGGAGAUCCGAAAAAAGUCACCAGAGUUAUUUGUAAAUCAAGGUAUGAAUUUUGAGGACGAAAUUCUUUUAAGGGAGGAAAGAUGUGAGGACCCGAAAUUUUCUUUUUUUUUUGGGCUUAUCUAUUUAUUUAUUUACCCCAAUUAAUUUAUUUCAUUCAUUUUAAUUGCAUCUGCAUUGUACAUUAUUUCAUUUUAUAUUUUUAACACGUUUGUUCUUGUCGCGCCCCAUUUUUUGAUAAAUAAAUAAAUGGUUUAAAAAAAUGUAUUUGAAUUUAUGAUUGGAAAAAGAAAUGUGGGUCUAAAUGGGGGUUUGAAAAUGCGACGAUUUGACCCAAAAUUAUAGUUUAAAAAGGGUUUUUGGAAAAAUGGGAGUCGCCACUUGGUAAUGAGUUAAGGUGUACCAAGUCACCUAAAAAUGAAUUUUUUAGGAAAAAGUUGUAAGAAACCCCUUUUAAACGACUCCUAAUCCACGUAAACCAAUGAAAAAGGUUCGGGAGUCACAUUUGACGAAGGGGAAGGCAAGGAUAAAAAUCCAAGGCACCCCUUCGACCUAGCCAAGGCUAGUUGCGGGAUUUAAUCAAAGUUUUUCUUGUUUUAACCAAAGAAUUUAUUACAUUUGGAUGCACUACAUGAAUGUAAAAAGAAAGAAAAAAUGCAAACCUAAAUUCUAAAAUGUCUCUUGUAAGGUUUUUUGGUCCCAACCACAUGAAUUGUGGCGGCCAAUAAAGGAAAACCUUAUAGAGGUCGAUUAAUGCAAAUGAUGGCUAAAGUGCAAGUGUGCAAGUGUAUAAAAAGGUGCACGUGUGAAAUUGUAAAAAAUCCAAGUGUUUGUGUGCCAGUGUAUGGAAAGGUGCAUGUGUGAAUUUGUAUGAAAAAUCCAAGUGUUUGUGUGCAAGUGUAUGAAAUAUAGUGAUAAGUGCAUAUAGGUGUAAUUAAGUGCAAUUUUGUGAAGUAGAAAUCAAAUUGAACAAUAAGGAAAGGAAAAGUGAUGAGGAAAUGUGAAUUGGAAAAAAAAAAUGAGUAAGUGAUAAAUGAGAAUGAAUGAACCUAAAGGAAUGCAUCAGGUCGGGUAUGGGAAUGACUACUAACUUUUCGACUUCGAUUUUCCCUUUGAUUAGAAGGCAAAACUAGCGUGCUAAGGCUAUCGAGUAGCCACACUCGCUCGUUUCCCUUAUCGGAGGGGACUCUUCAGGCAAAUGUACCCUAACUAGCAUGAGAUGCAAGACCUAAAGUGAGGGGAAAGGGGAUUAGAGGGACAUGCCAAAUGAUAAAACUAAAAAAAAAAAUGCAUGACAUGUAAUGAACAUGCAAACAUGUACUAACGAGGGGAAAUCCCUAAGGGUCUAGCGUUGGACUAGCCUAUUCUAUGAAUUCCGACUAGCGUUGGACUAGUGGAAACGUACAUUCAUCCAUCACAUUCAUUCAUGGCCAUGGAAAAGCGAGUAGACAUGCCAAACACUCGUGAACACAUAGCACAUAACACUUAGCAUGCUCGACUAGAUGCAAGGCCCUAAUAAAGCAAAUUAACACGUAGCACAUAAGCAUGCAAGACAAAUAAGACAAUUAAAGCCCUAACUAUUACAUUUGCUAGCUAGGCACAUGUCUUCAAUAGGUCUUCAUCAAAUGCUCCUCCAAGCCCUAUCUAUUACAAGCCAAGAGGUGUACACAUACCCCAUAAAAAAUAACUUAAAUAAAAAGCAAAAGUAAAAAUGAAAAUGAAAGGAAUUAAGGAAAAGCAAGGGAAGCAAGUAAACAUGCAAUUUUCACGUAGCACGUUGGAUCACAUAGGAGAGACAAAAAAGAUAAAAGAAGUUAUACCUCCCUUGAGUUGGAGCUCUAAUGGGGUGAAGUCACUUAUUUAUCCUCCAAAAUAAAAGAAAUGGUCAAGGUACCAAUUUAUUUGGGAAAAUUAAAGAAAACGUGCAAAACGAAGCUCACUUGAUCGUAAAGCCUCUAAAGUCAUGGCUUAAGUGCAAUUGACAAAACAUGGUAGUUAAUUGAAGCAAAACAAACAAUGAAAUUGCAAAAACUAAAGCUGCCAAGGGCCAAAUUGAGGACAUUAUUCAAUUGGUUGGGUCAUAGUGGCAUAAGGGAAAACUUGAGGGGUUAAAGUCCAAUUUUCUUGAACAUUUACAUGCAUGCAUACGAGCAGCUUCUUCAUUUCUGGUUGCUAAUUUUCUGCCAAGGUUUUCCUUACAUUUAGACAUGCAAGUAUGUUAACCAUAUGCCAGGACUUGGAACUAACUAACAUUAACUAAACAUGCAACUUCAUGGCAGGUUAGAAACAAGAAAAUGGUGCUGAUCAUCAAAGGUGUAGAGAGGAUUUAAGAACAGCAAUAGAAGGAAAAAUAAGAAAUGCCGCAAGUUUUCUGCAACAACUGCAUUUUACUUUCCAACACCAAGUUCAGACUCCAAGCGCAUACUUUAACCGAAGUGUUCUUGAUUCCACAUCCAAACUUUGAGCUAAACAAACAAGACAUGAUUUUGACAUCCAAACAAACAAGAAACAUAAGAGGAACUGGUGCAAAAGAUCACGAAGGAACUUAUGCAUUCUGCAAAUUCCAGCCAAGGCUGCUUCCGCAACUCUUUGCUCUUAAGCUCUUGGUGGUCAAAACAAAAAUCUGAAUGCAGCUUGCUCAACAAUUUUCAACCAAGAUCAUAGUUUUUAAAACUAAGCAACAAAAAACACUCGACUCUGUCAUCCAAACAAACAAGAAAACAUAGCAGAAAUUGGUGCAAAAAUCUGGACAGAACGUUCGUGUAGCAGUGGCUUAGCAACCUGGAAUUUACUUUUCAUCAAGCAUUUGAACAUGAUUCAAGCAUUUCAGCCCCUAAACGUGCAAACCCAAUGCCAGAUCAAUUCAUUUCUUCCAUUCAAAGUAAGAUUAAGCAUGCAACUUAAGUGUGAAAACUCAAUGGGCAAUUAAGAAAAAGAAAACAGCACAGAAAAAACGUAACAGCCUGUUGCUUUGCUAUGAACUUUGCAGCUUCAAACCAUUGUAUUGGACACCGCAACCAUUGUAUUAGACUCACCCUUUAUCCACCAAACUCACACACAUAUUCAAACAUCCAUUUUAACAGCAAGGAAACCAAAAGAAUUCAGCAAUGAAGAUAUCAACCUUCCCUCGAAAUGCCGAACCAGAAAAUUCGAGAAAACAGAUUGACUCUCGGACCAUGAAGCAAAAAUCAUUAUUCAGUACAAGAAAAACCAUUUCAUUCCCUCUUGGCAGCCAAGAAACAUCACUCAGCGCAAAAUCAUCCUCAUGGUCAGCAAACAACAACAAGACACCAAAUAAUGCACAAACCCCCCGUGAUACAUAGCAAACUCAAAAGAAUCUACCCGCACGGUUGUAGCAAAAUUGAGACUUUGAAACUUGCUAUGGCAAACUCUAAAUCUUACUCUUAAAGGUCCUAACAACCAUAACAAAUGAUCCACAGACCAGUUGUCGAUCUAAACAAGGGAGAAACAUGAAGGGUGCACAGAGAAAGCAAUUGGUUUCUAUUUCUUAUGAAAUUCAUGGUGAUAUCAUACGAAACUAACUAAAAACUUACAGCUUCAUCAUCGGACAUUCUAAGACAAACAGCCAUGAUACGGAUUCACCAUCUCUCCAAGAUACACAAAGAACAAGAAAAACAUGGAAGAAGAAACUCACAGCAAAUUUGCAAACAAAGAUUUUUGAUACCCAGAUGAAAGUCCGAUGAUUUGGGACCGAAAGAAAAGAGAAGUGACAGGUUACCUUUGCUCCUUUGAGUUGCAAAAGACAGCACCUUGAUGAAGGAGCGAUGGAUCCUUGACGCAAACCAAACAAAACUGGAAAAGUUUCACCUUUUGAUGCGCCUGCCUUCUAGAUUCUGCACCGCCUUUCUUUCUAGUCGAAAGCUUCUCACUCACUCUUUUCUUCUCACCUUCCCGGGCUCUCCCAAUGAAACCCUCAACUCUUGUUUUCUUUCUCCUUGCGAACCGAUCCUCCCCUUCAAACCUUUCCAGCCCUCCGUUUCUCUAUUUUCUUUAGGUCUCGGUCAGUUGUCAUCCCUCGGAUUCUACCCCCCUAAUCUCACUCAGCCGUGAGCUCUCGUGCUUGAUUUUCCUUCUCACUCUCUCAAACCGUCUCAAAAUUCUCUCUCGGUUCUUCCCUUCUGUCUCUCCCUUCCUGGUUUUUCUUCUGCCGUUCUCCAGAACCUCUCUCACGGGAGCUCUCUCCUAAUCCCCCCUUUCUGAUGCAGCCGCCAACCCCUUCUCUGUUUUUCCAGUUGCGGCCGUCACCUCUCUGAUGAAAAACCUCUCCUUUUUUCACAGUUUUUCUGGUUCUCCACUCAAUUCUUACGGCUGCCCUCUUGUUCUUCUCCGUUCUCUGCCGUUUCUUUUUUUCUAUUUCUUCCCGUCAAUCUCUUUCUCUCCUUCGAAACUCUCUC
RNAcentral lists this long non-coding RNA (6932 nucleotides) under Coffea arabica (coffee). Its description in RNAcentral is "long non-coding RNA (CARA_LNC001212)". The record is from RNAcentral. Lineage: Eukaryota; Viridiplantae; Streptophyta; Magnoliopsida; Gentianales; Rubiaceae.